AACGAACGCUAUCGGUAUGCUUAACACAUGCAAGUCGGACGGACUAAUUAGGGCUUGCUCCAAUUAGUUAGUGGCAGACGGGUGAGUAACACGUGGGAAUCUGCCCAUCAGUACGGAAUAACUUUUAGAAAUAAACGCUAAUACCGUAUAUUCUCUACAGAGGAAAGAUUUAUCGCUGAUGGAUGAGCCCGCGUCAGAUUAGGUAGUUGGUGAGGUAACGGCUCACCAAGCCGACGAUCUGUAGCUGGUCUGAGAGGAUGAUCAGCCACACUGGGACUGAGACACGGCCCAGACUCCUACGGGAGGCAGCAGUGGGGAAUAUUGGACAAUGGGCGAAAGCCUGAUCCAGCAAUACCGAGUGAGUGAUAAAGGCCCUAGGGUUGUAAAGCUCUUUUAGCAAGGAAGAUAAUGACGUUACUUGCAGAAAAAGCCCCGGCUAACUCCGUG
RNAcentral lists this ribosomal RNA (447 nucleotides) under uncultured bacterium. RNAcentral's name for it is "partial 16S ribosomal RNA". It matches the Rfam family "Bacterial small subunit ribosomal RNA", at positions 29 to 507 of the family's 1533-position model. The record is from RNAcentral.